RNAcentral lists this long non-coding RNA (665 nucleotides) under Cervus hanglu yarkandensis (Yarkand deer). RNAcentral's name for it is "lncRNA (ENSCHYG00000006172.1)". Lineage: Eukaryota; Metazoa; Chordata; Mammalia; Artiodactyla; Cervidae. The record is from RNAcentral.
CAGUCACAUCUAAGCUUCUGGGCCGCCCACCAAAGACACUGUCUACUGCAGUGGUGCUGUCAGACCCAGCGGGGCAGGACGGGGCCGCCCCGUCAGUGUGGGGUGACUGACGCUCACCAGCCUUCCCUUCUGCCCUGGGGCCUGGUUGUGAAAGAAAGCAAAUGAAAAAUGGUAGCAAUAAAGAACGCUGCUCCCAGUAGACAGCGCCUCUUUGUUUCCAGGUCAGGAUGAUUCUCAGGAAUGGCUGCUCCUAGGAGCAGCAGAGAAGCGGGAAGUCUGGGAAGAAAGCCCUUCAAGCCUGGCCUGCAGCGGCUUCUCCUCCUGGGUGCCAAUGCUCUUGACAGGCCACAGAGCCCCGGUUCCAGCCAUGCAUCGUGUGACGAAAGAGGUGGUACAAGGUACAGCAAAUAAACUUACCAUGUUUCCCGUCCGACCGCAAAGCCCGACUGCCCAAUAGAGCCAUCUCAGUUCCACUGCAAUUUUUGCAGGUAAAAUUUUCAGUCAGCCACCAGAGGGUGCCCACAGAGCUCUCUGAAAAUGACCAAAUCCUGCAGAAUUAGAAAAUUUCCAGUGUAUCUAAAACUAAUACCAAAGAUAGCUCCCUCACAUAUGACUGGGAGUGAUGCACAGGCCAGCUAAGGAGCUGCAAGUUUGCAGGGGAUGAA